AGCAGCGUGGCUCAGCGGGAAGAGCCUCGGCUUGGGAGUCAGAGGUCAUGGGUUCGAAUCCCGGCUCUGCCA
Molecule: non-coding RNA, 72 nt
Organism: Ornithorhynchus anatinus (platypus)
Lineage: Eukaryota; Metazoa; Chordata; Mammalia; Monotremata; Ornithorhynchidae
Source: Rfam